AGUGAACGCUGGCGGUAGGCCUAACACAUGCAAGUCGAACGGCAGCACAGUAAGAGCUUGCUCUUACGGGUGGCGAGUGGCGGACGGGUGAGGAAUACAUCGGAAUCUACUUUUUCGUGGGUGAUAACGUAGGGAAACUUACGCUAAUACCGCAUACGACCUACGGGUGAAAGCAGGGGAUCUUCGGACCUUGCGCGAUUGAAUGAGCCGAUGUCGGAUUAGCUAGUUGGCGGGGUAAAGGCCCACCAAGGCGACGAUCCGUAGCUGGUCUGAGAGGAUGAUCAGCCACACUGGAACUGAGACACGGUCCAGACUCCUACGGGAGGCAGCAGUGGGGAAUAUUGGACAAUGGGCGAAAGCCUGAUACAGCAAUACCGCGUGGGUGAAGAAGGCCUUCGGGUUGUAAAGCCAUUUUGUUGGGAAAGAAAAGAAGCAGGUUAAUACCCGGCUGUUAUGACGGUACCCAAAGAAUAAGCACCGGCUAACUUCGUG
Molecule: ribosomal RNA, 492 nt
Filed under: uncultured bacterium
Lineage: Bacteria
Description: partial 16S ribosomal RNA
Rfam family: Bacterial small subunit ribosomal RNA
Source: RNAcentral